GGAGCCAAAACCAAGAGCUGUGGAUUUGGACAAGUGGACACUGAUAACGCACAUCCUACAUGAUAUCCAUGUGAUGCAAAAUCUGAAAUUGGUGAUGGAUCGUUAUCUGCUGGGCUGCAAGGAGAAAGCUCCGUGUGUAACCCCAUCAGACACGGUGAAGCUUGUGCCAGUGACAACCAGAAGAAGAGUUGUCUGCUUGGAUGGUUUCAGAAGGCUGUCUGUCUACACUGAGAAGAAGGCAAGAAUA
Molecule: long non-coding RNA, 247 nt
Organism: Aquila chrysaetos chrysaetos
Lineage: Eukaryota; Metazoa; Chordata; Aves; Accipitriformes; Accipitridae
Exons: 3
Source: RefSeq, a predicted model, not a curated record